RNAcentral lists this long non-coding RNA (203 nucleotides) under Lathyrus oleraceus (garden pea). Its description in RNAcentral is "Pisum sativum (pea) long non-coding RNA (PSAT_LNC024881)". Lineage: Eukaryota; Viridiplantae; Streptophyta; Magnoliopsida; Fabales; Fabaceae. The record is from RNAcentral.
AAAGUAAAUGGUAAAAGAAAUAGAGAGCAUAAGAUAAGGACAUUAAAGUAAAGUUAAUAUAAUAAAAUGUUAGUAAGUGGUGUUAGUAAUCAAAAAAUAAAAAGAUGAUUUGCCAUUUUUGGAGAACACUCAACUAUUCACUCACGAGUAUGAAAAUAUGGACCUCUAUAUCACGGUGAGAAGGGUUCCAACUUGGAUAAAAU